RNAcentral lists this unclassified non-coding RNA (272 nucleotides) under Hevea brasiliensis (rubber tree). Lineage: Eukaryota; Viridiplantae; Streptophyta; Magnoliopsida; Malpighiales; Euphorbiaceae. The record is from RNAcentral.
GGAUGUGCUGACAACGGUGGGAGAUGCUUCUUGACAGCUUCCUCAAACUUGCAACGAUGACUCCCGGGAACCCCAUAAAAUAUUCUUGGAGCGCCAAAAUGUAUGUAGGAUAGCAAAUAUAAGUGGUGCUCUUCAAUUCUCCACUGAUUAGACGAAAAACACAUUCCAAAGGAGAGCCGGGGAAGCAAAAUAGAGGAACUGUUACAACUCUCAAAACGGAGAAGAGAAUCUUGAAGCUUAGGGGUAUUGUUCAAGUUCCAACCUGAUUCCAC